This is a non-coding RNA of Acanthosepion pharaonis, 111 nucleotides long. Lineage: Eukaryota; Metazoa; Mollusca; Cephalopoda; Sepiida; Sepiidae. The record is from the annotation of a GenBank genome assembly.
UACAGCCAUAUCACAUUGAAACACCAGUUCUCAUACAAUCACCAAAGUUAAGCAAUGUCAAGCCUGGUCAAUACCUAGAUGGGUGACCAUUUGGGAAUACCAGGAAGUGUA